UAAACUAGGAUUAGAUACCCUAUUAUUUUAAAUGUUAAUUUUUGAUACUAAAUUAUUAGUAGUUAUGUUCUUGAAAAUUAAAAAAUUUGGCGGUAUUUUAGUCUUUUCAGAGGAACCUGUCCUGUAAUUGAUAGUCCACGAUUAGAAAAACUUUAUUUAUUAAUUUAUAUAUCGUUGUAGUUUGAAUAUUUUAAGAGAAGUUAAAUAUUCAUAAUUUUAAAUUAAAAAAUAAAUCAGAUCAAGGUAUAGUUUAUAAUAAAGUAGAGAUGGGUUACAUUAAAAAUAUUUAAGGAUAAUUUUUUUUAAAAGGAUUUGAAUGUGGAUUUGAAAGUAAUUAUAAAUAUAUAUUUAUAAUGAUUUUAGCUCUAAAAUAUGUACACAUCGCCCGUCGCUCUUAA
This 398-nucleotide ribosomal RNA is filed under the name Callosobruchus maculatus (cowpea weevil). RNAcentral describes it as "partial 12S small subunit ribosomal RNA". Lineage: Eukaryota; Metazoa; Arthropoda; Insecta; Coleoptera; Chrysomelidae. The record is from RNAcentral.